This 277-nucleotide long non-coding RNA is filed under the name Bos taurus (domestic cattle). RNAcentral describes it as "long non-coding RNA NONBTAT001790". Lineage: Eukaryota; Metazoa; Chordata; Mammalia; Artiodactyla; Bovidae. The record is from RNAcentral.
AAAUCUGGAAAAAAAGAAAAGAACAUAAAAACUAGAAAAGAAACAAAAAUAUUCAUAUAGAUUAUUAAUAUGUACGUUACCUAGGUUUCUCUAAACUCAAACUGAGUAUAUAUUAAACUUUUUCUAGUAGGCACACUUCAUUUCUUGAGGGUUUCUAAUUAACUUCACCGGGAUUCUUAAUAAUGUACACAUAAGGACAGUGCGCCUGUUACCUGUUAGAAUGUUACUUAAUAAGAUCAAAUGAAACAUUAAAAGGUUAUCCAGUUGUUCAACUUCU